This is a non-coding RNA of Notechis scutatus (mainland tiger snake), 339 nucleotides long. The record is from RefSeq and is a predicted model, not a curated record. NCBI's taxonomy places the organism in Eukaryota, Metazoa, Chordata, Lepidosauria, Squamata, Elapidae.
AUCUGGCCGUAUAAUUUCUUUAAGAAGUUGGGGAUUCCUGGGCCAAGACCCCUGCCUUUUAUCGGAACUUUCCAUAAAUAUCGGAAUGGUAUGUUUUACUUUGACCAAAGAUGCUAUGAGAAAUAUGGCAAGAUCUGGGGAAUAUUUGAUGGCCGGCAACCUGUGAUGGCCAUUUUGGAUCCUGCCCUCAUUAAAACCAUUCUGGUCAAAGAAUUCUAUACCUAUUUCACCAAUCGCCGGGUAGGUACCUUUGGAGGUUGUGAGAACUUCACUGGGGCUGAGAAAUAGAAGGUCUGCAAGGGAACGUGGAAGAGCAGGCCUGGUAUUGUGGUUUGGGUG